RNAcentral lists this non-coding RNA (23 nucleotides) under Arabidopsis thaliana (thale cress). The record is from RNAcentral. Lineage: Eukaryota; Viridiplantae; Streptophyta; Magnoliopsida; Brassicales; Brassicaceae.
UAUUAAUUGGGAAGCAUUGUGUG